UCAAUUUCCCCGCAUUUUUGAAAACCCUAAUUCCGAUAAUUCUCCAGAUCUCCAAAAUUCCUCCGCCACACAAUUUCAAUCCCCACUAAACUUUUGACUCCACUGCGCGCUGGCGCCUUCCCAUUGAUUCUGGGAGUCGAUCUGUACGUGGGGUUCGCUUCGAUCACAGUCACUGUGAAAAUCCAAAAUUCCAAAUUCCUUAUUUUGUGACAAAACGGCACUCUUCGAUCGUCCCUAUUCCGGACGCUCCUCCAAUGUUCUAGACAUCUCUUGAUCUUCCCUAAAAAGGUCAUUAAUCGCAGUUCACAGAAUGAACUCAUUUCAAGAGCUGUUUUUGUUUCCCCUCCAAUGGCGUCCUCUCUCUUCGCUUCAGUCCCGUGCCCUUCUUCGAUCGACAAAUCCCCACUUCGCAUAUCGUACUGUUCUUCCUUCUCAAAGCAUCAAUUUGGCCACAGGGCGAGAUAUUCGUUCCAAAGGUUGAGUUUCUGUGUUAAAGCAGAGAAUACAAACGAACCGUCUUCUCCUCGGGAGUCGCCGUCGUCUUCUUCAGUGGCGGUGGAGGAGCCAAAGGGCGAGGAAAAUGGGCCGAGCGUGUCCGACGAGGCCAAGGAGGAUUCGGAGAAUGAUAGAGUGCAGGAACUGGAUUGGAAAACCGACGAGGAGUUUAAGAAAUUCAUGGGGAAUCCGUCGAUCGAGGCCGCCAUAAAGCUCGAGAAGAAACGAGCUGACAGGAAGCUGAAGGAGCUCGAUCGAGAAAGAAGCGACAAUCCGAUAAUCGGAUUCUUCAACAAUUUGGUUCGCGCCAAUGUGAGCCGAGAGAAAGAGCGUCUGGAGAUGGCGGAGGAGACCUUCAAGGCUCUCGAUCUCAACAAGUUGAAGAGCUGUUUUGGUUUCGAUACAUUUUUCGCCACUGAUGUUAGGAGAUUUGGUGAUGGAGGGAUAUUUGUUGGAAACCUGAGGAAGCCAAUUGAGGAAGUGAUUCCAAAAUUGGAGAGGAAGCUUUCGGAGGCAGCGGGGAGGGAGGUUGUGGUUUGGUUUAUGGAGGAGAAAGCUAAUGAAAUCACGAAACAGGCCUGUGUAGUGCAACCCAAGGCAGAAAUGGACCUCCAGUUCGAGUCUACUAAACUGAGUACGCCUUGGGGCUACAUUAGCGCGAUUUCCUUAUGUGUUACAACAUUUGGGACGAUUGCUCUGACAAGUGGAUUCUUCGUCAAGCCUAAUGCUACUGUCGACGACUACUUGGCCAAUGUUGCACCUUUGUUUGCCGGAUUUUUGACCAUUUUGUUAGCAUCCGAGGUUGCGACGAGAGUGACAGCAGCUCGCUACGGCGUCAAACUUAGCCCAUCCUUUCUUGUUCCAUCGAACUGGACCGGGUGCCUCGGCGUCAUGAAUAACUACGAGUCUCUACUGCCGAAUAAGAAGGCUCUGUUCGAUAUCCCCGUGGCCCGAACAGCCACUGCGUAUCUGACAUCAUUGAUCCUCGCCAUUGCUGCUUUUGUAGCUGAUGGCAGUUUUAAUGGCGGCGACAAUGCACUGUACAUAAGACCUCAGUUCUUUUACAAUAAUCCACUCCUUUCGUUUAUCCAAUAUGUCAUCGGCCCAUAUGCUGACGAUCUUGGCAAUGUGCUGCCGUAUGCAGUCGAAGGUGUGGGCGUCCCGUGCGAUCCUCUUGCCUUCGCCGGACUUCUUGGCAUGGUGGUGACGUCACUGAACCUGCUCCCAUGCGGACGGCUCGAGGGCGGCCGCAUCGCCCAAGCCAUGUUCGGCAGAAGCACCGCCAAUAUAUUAUCUUUUGCCACGUCACUACUUUUGGGAAUUGGAGGAUUGAGCGGAAGCGUGCUGUGCCUGGCGUGGGGGCUAUUCGCGACAUUCUUCCGGGGAGGAGAGGAAAUUCCGGCCAAGGACGAGAUCACACCGCUGGGAGACGAUCGAUUUGCUUGGGGAUGCGUUCUCUUCCUCAUUUGCUUGCUUACUCUCUUCCCCAACGGCGGCGGCACCUUCAACAGCUCCUUCUUCGGCUCGCCGUUUUUUCGUGGUGACGGUUUGAUCAGAGAGAUUGCUCGAGAAGAAUCCUCAUGUGCUGUCCAUCACUGGUGGAAACGCUGCUCUGCCUUUCCAGCGUAUGUCUGGAUGGCAGUACGAUCAUGCGACAGUAAAGGAAAUCAGCAAAACCUGGAAUUUCAACAGGCAUCCAUCUUCUCGUACAUUUGGAGUGGAGGACUCGAGAUUCCGAGGGGUGGCCACCAGGUGCACACCAAGAGUCAAGAUUUAAUGGAUGGAACUUAAUUCAUGUUAACAACUUCAAGACCGGGAAUGGCCAUAGCAAAAAUUUAUGUGAUGCUGUUUAGUUGGAGGGCUGCAACAAUCACUCUACUGAAAAAUAAUUGGAUUAUGAUGCUUCAGGACUCAGGUAUUUGAUUCUUGAUUGGGAAUUGGAAAAAAGGGUGGAAAUGCAGAUUCAGCUGUAAUAAAGUAGUUCAUGAUUGUGGGAUCUCAAGCCCCACGCCACCAAACAAAACAACAAAAUUAUUUCCAAUUUAUGAACAUGGGAUGGGGGUGGCCAUAUGUAUUCACUCACCCCAUGCAUUAUGGAUGAUGAUUGCUGAGAGGUUCAUUAUCCAAAAUAGGACACAAUGGGUGCUGCCCUUGUUGGAGGAUUUUAUAAAGUGGAUUGAUUAGCCUUUCUCCAUAAU
Molecule: RNA transcript, 2693 nt
Organism: Andrographis paniculata
Lineage: Eukaryota; Viridiplantae; Streptophyta; Magnoliopsida; Lamiales; Acanthaceae
Gene name: probable zinc metallopeptidase EGY3, chloroplastic
Exons: 10
Source: RefSeq, a predicted model, not a curated record